ACAGUCCUACAGGGAGUUAAGCUCUCAGUAUACGAGUUUGGGGGAGACACAAUUAAGUCCAUAUCAUUCACUCUUCCUUUACGUGAUUGUAAGUGUAUCAAGAGCAGUUCUGUGCAAGCCGGACACAUUGAGGACAUUACAGGGAUCCCGAAAUGUGAACGGAAUUGUCACCUAGCCUCUCCAUCGCCUAUCCAGAAGCAGCCUUGUGUAUUGGAACACAAACAUUAUUAAACAACAAAUUCAGUUUCGAUAAGUGUCCAGUUGUCCGUGGCUGAGACCUCUCCCUCCGCAUCUGUCGGCUGAGGACAAAAUUCAGAAAGGUCCUUCGGCUUUGUCCCAUUGGAUCAGCAAAGCAAAUGACAUCCUGUGCGUCCUUAUGAAUGGGAAAUAUUUACCGAGUGUCUAAUACGUGUGGACCUUUCUGGCAACCCGGCAAACCUCCCCCGUGUAAGAGCCCAUGGAUUUCUUCUGGGGACACUGACUUCCCUCCACUGUUUGAAACCUUGGUUGGGUGGCAAGUGAAAGGAUCCCUGUUCCACUCCAGAUGUCCAAGGACGCCACGGAGAAUUUUUCUCCACAGGUUUCCUUUUGCUAUCCCGGAGGUGCCAGUGUGCUGAUGUAGUCCUUAAAUUGGCGCUUUCAGCACUGUCCUAGAUGAUAAACUUUGAGGAACGUUUCACCAAGAGAAAUUUGAUUAGAACAAGUUAGCUUCAUUCCUGUGUUGGUGGCUGAGAAAAAAAGAGGGGGCAGUCUUUGAGAAUUUCCUGUCACU
Molecule: long non-coding RNA, 772 nt
Organism: Phacochoerus africanus (Common warthog)
Lineage: Eukaryota; Metazoa; Chordata; Mammalia; Artiodactyla; Suidae
Exons: 4
Source: RefSeq, a predicted model, not a curated record